Schistosoma haematobium is the source of this 716-nucleotide non-coding RNA. The record is from Rfam. NCBI's taxonomy places the organism in Eukaryota, Metazoa, Platyhelminthes, Trematoda, Strigeidida, Schistosomatidae.
ACAAUUUGUAUGAAUGUUGAGUUUCAUUGUGAACAUGUAAAUAAAUCCAAAUACAUUCAACUGACCUAUCUUGAACAGGACAAAUGUACAUCAUGGAUUCAAUUCUCAGCCCCUAUGCAAUAUCUUGUCAAAAAUGCAAAUGUUUUGAUCUUUCGACGUCAGAUCUUCCUAGCAUUGUGAAGUAGAAUUCACCAAACUUUGGAUUGUUCACCCACUAUUAGGGAACGUGAGCUGAGUUUAGAUCGUUGUGAAACAGGUUAGUUAUGCCCUACUAAUGAGUACAUCAGUGAAGUACAAUCUGGCCGUUGUUAUGGUAAUCCUGUGUAGUACGAAAGGAACUGCAGGUUCAGAUAAUUGAUAUAUGUGCUUGGUCUAAAGGCCAAUGGUGCGAAGCUACCAUCUGAAGGAUUAAGACUGAACGUCCCUAAGUCUGAAUCCCGUCCAAAUUUGCAACGGUACAUUCUGUAUCCGACACGUGGCUAGGCAAGCUUACGUAUUCCUUCUGGUGUCUGGACUGAACUAUGUGUUCGACUAGGCCCAUUAGGUUGAGUGUUAUGCCAGAGCGACGACCAUAAACCGUGCUCCGAAUUUCGGAGUACGGAGGUCGACACGAUAUCAAAUUUGUGGUAUGAGCGUGAGGAUACUAAUUAGUUUGUGCUAGAGCAGCUUUCACACUGCGAGGCAUUGGGUCCUAUCCCUGCUUGACGUAAUGAUUU